RNAcentral lists this ribosomal RNA (451 nucleotides) under uncultured bacterium. RNAcentral describes it as "partial 16S ribosomal RNA". It matches the Rfam family "Bacterial small subunit ribosomal RNA", at positions 354 to 796 of the family's 1533-position model. The record is from RNAcentral.
GUGGGGAAUAUUGGACAAUGGGGGGAACCCUGAUCCAGCCAUGCCGCGUGUGUGAAGAAGGCCUUUUGGUUGUAAAGCACUUUAAGCGAGGAGGAGGCUACCGAGAUUAAUACUCUUGGAUAGUGGACGUUACUCGCAGAAUAAGCACCGGCUAACUCUGUGCCAGCAGCCGCGGUAAUACAGAGGUUGCAAGCGUUAAUCGGAUUUACUGGGCGUAAAGCGCGCGUAGGUGGCCAAUUAAGUCAAAUGUGAAAUCCCCGAGCUUAACUUGGGAAUUGCAUUCGAUACUGGUUGGCUAGAGUAUGGGAGAGGAUGGUAGAAUUCCAGGUGUAGCGGUGAAAUGCGUAGAGAUCUGGAGGAAUACCGAUGGCGAAGGCAGCCAUCUGGCCUAAUACUGACACUGAGGUGCGAAAGCAUGGGGAGCAAACAGGAUUAGAAACCCGAGUAGUCC